AGAGUUUGAUCAUGGCUCAGGACGAACGCCGGCGGCGCGCCUAACACAUGCAAGUCGAACGGGAUUGAGAGAAGCUUGCUUCUUUUAAUCUAGUGGCGAACGGGUGAGUAACGCGUGAGUAACCUGCCCUGGAGUGGGGGACAACAGUUGGAAACGACUGCUAAUACCGCAUAAGCCCACGGCCCGGCAUCGGGCUGCGGGAAAAGGAUUUAUUCGCCCUAGGAUGGACUCGCGUCCAAUUAGCUAGUUGGUGAGGUAACGGCCCACCAAGGCGACGAUUGGUAGCCGGACUGAGAGGUUGAACGGCUACAUUGGGACUGAGACACGGCCCAGACUCCUACGGGAGGCAGCAGUGGGGGAUAUUGCACAAUGGGGGAAACCCUGAUGCAGCGACGCCGCGUGGAGGAAGAAGGUUUUCGGAUUGUAAACUCCUGUCGUUAGGGACGAUAAUGACGGUACCUAACAAGAAAGCACCGGCUAACUACGUGCCAGCAGCCGCGGUAAAACGUAGGGUGCAAGCGUUGUCCGGAAUUACUGGGUGUAAAGGGAGCGCAGGCGGACCGGCAAGUUGGAAGUGAAAACCAUGGGCUCAACCCAUGAAUUGCUUUCAAAACUGCUGGCCUUGAGUAGUGCAGAGGUAGGUGGAAUUCCCGGUGUAGCGGUGGAAUGCGUAGAUAUCGGGAGGAACACCAGUGGCGAAGGCGACCUACUGGGCACCAACUGACACUGAGGCUCGAAAGCAUGGGUAGCAAACAGGAUUAGAUACCCUGGUAGUCCAUGCCGUAAACGAUGAUUACUAGGUGUUGGAGGAUUGACCCCUUCAGUGCCGCAGUUAACACAAUAAGUAAUCCACCUGGGGAGUACGACCGCAAGGUUGAAACUCAAAGGAAUUGACGGGGGCCCGCACAAGCAGUGGAGUAUGUGGUUUAAUUCGAAGCAACGCGAAGAACCUUACCAGGUCUUGACAUCCGAUGCAUAGCUUAGAGAUAAGUGAAGUCCUUCGGGACAUCGAGACAGGUGGUGCAUGGUUGUCGUCAGCUUGUGUCGUGAGAUGUUGGGUUAAGUCCCGCAACGAGCGCAACCCCUAUCCUUAGUAGCCAGCAGUAAGAUGGGAACUCUAGGGGGACUGCCGGGGAUAACCCGGAGGAAGGUGGGGACGACGUCAAAUCAUCAUGCCCCUUAUGGGCUGGGCUACACACGUGCUACAAUGGUGCUAACAGAGUGAGGCGAGACUGUGAAGUUAAGCAAAUCACAAAAAUGGCAUCUCAGUUCGGAUUGUAGUCUGCAACUCGACUACAUGAAGCUGGAAUCGCUAGUAAUCGCAGAUCAGAAUGCUGCGGUGAAUACGUUCCCGGGUCUUGUACACACCGCCCGUCACACCAUGGGAGUUGGGAAUGCCCGAAGCCGGUGACCUAACCGUAAGGAAGGAGCCGUCGAAGGCAGGCUCGAUAACUGGGGUGAAGUCGUAACAAGGUA
Molecule: ribosomal RNA, 1476 nt
Filed under: metagenome
Description: bacterial SSU rRNA
Rfam family: Bacterial small subunit ribosomal RNA
Source: RNAcentral